This 425-nucleotide ribosomal RNA is filed under the name uncultured bacterium. Its description in RNAcentral is "bacterial SSU rRNA". It matches the Rfam family "Bacterial small subunit ribosomal RNA", at positions 354 to 796 of the family's 1533-position model. The record is from RNAcentral.
GUGGGGAAUAUUGGACAAUGGGCGAAAGCCUGAUCCAGCCAUGCCGCGUGAGUGAUGAAGGCCUUAGGGUUGUAAAGCUCUUUCAGUAGGGAAGAUAAUGACGGUACCUACAGAAGAAGCCCCGGCUAACUUCGUGCCAGCAGCAGCGGUAAUACGAAGGGGGCUAGCGUUGUUCGGAUUUACUGGGCGUAAAGCGCACGUAGGCGGAUUGGUCAGUUAGAGGUGAAAUCCUGGAGCUCAACUCCAGAACUGCCUUUAAUACUGCCAGUCUAGAGUCCAGAAGAGGUGAGUGGAACUCCUAGUGUAGAGGUGGAAUUCGUAGAUAGUAGGAAGAACACCAGUGGCGAAGGCGGCUCACUGGUCUGGUACUGACGCUGAGGUGCGAAAGCGUGGGGAGCAAACAGGAUUAGAUACCCGGGUAGUCC